Molecule: ribosomal RNA, 253 nt
Filed under: uncultured bacterium
Lineage: Bacteria
Description: partial 16S ribosomal RNA
Rfam family: Bacterial small subunit ribosomal RNA
Source: RNAcentral
UACGUAGGCAGCAAGCGUUGUUCGGAAUUACUGGGCGUAAAGAGUGUGUCGGCGGGGUUUUAAGUUUGUUUUGAAAUCUCCCGGCUUAACUGGGAGGGUGCGGCGAAAACUGGAAUGCUAGAGGGUGGGAGAGGUAAGCGGAAUUCCUGGUGUAGCGGUGAAAUGCGUAGAUAUCAGGAGGAACACCUGUGGUGUAGACAGCUUACUGGACCAUUACUGACGCUGAGACACGAAAGCGUGGGUAGCAAACAGG